RNAcentral lists this transfer-messenger RNA (352 nucleotides) under Coriobacteriia. RNAcentral's name for it is "JAENWW01 sp016649875 Standard tmRNA". It matches the Rfam family "transfer-messenger RNA". Rfam says of the family: Bacterial tmRNA, also known as 10Sa RNA or SsrA, is named for its dual tRNA and mRNA-like properties. The record is from RNAcentral. RNAcentral also lists the same sequence under 1 other name. Lineage: Bacteria; Bacillati; Actinomycetota.
GGGGGUGACUGGUCUCGACAUGUUGUGUUCGACGGAAGAAGCAAGCCGAGGUCUCCUCGCCUCGUUAAAUAGGGGUAUCUCCAGUAUAACUGGCGAAAAUAAUUUAGCCUUCGCUGCUUAAUUGACAGCGACGUCAACUCGAGAUGUAUCCCCGCUCUCGAUGCGACGUCAUCUAGGGGAUUGCUGCUGAAGACGUAAGCUGUAUGCUUCGGCAAAAGACUGAACGGCUAUGAUUCACUGAUAAGUGUGUUGUCGGGCGACCGGUGAAUCGAGACUUAGCCGGCGACUGAGCUUGGAGAUGCUUCCUUAGUAUGCAAUGUGGACGUGGGUUCGAUUCCCACCACCUCCACCA